GUGAGUGCACGAUCAGCGCCAUUGAGACAGAUAGAAUGUUGCGAUCUCUUUACAUCUCUAUGCCAGUGGUUCCAAACCGGCGUGCCCCCCUCCUAAAUAAAUCAAUAUAUAUAUUUUUUCGUCAACAGUUCCAUCGUAUCUUAAACUUUUUACAGGGCACUCAUUAGGACCUGGGGGAGGCUGCAGCACGCGCUAGUGACUGUUAGACUUUCUUCAGCAAAGAUGGCUGACAAAACUACUGGAUGGAAGCAAAUGUUCGGGAUGCUGAGUAAGGAGGUCGUCCCCCAUGCAGACACCGUGCUUCACUGGCUAAGCACUUAGAGGCCCUACUUUGAUAAAGGCGAGCGGGACAUGAUCAUCAUGAGGAAUGACGUGGGCCUGCGCCACUCCACAGGCGAGCUUGAGACUAAGCACAUCAGCCUGGUGGUCUACAGAGACCCCAACGGCUACUCUGCCAUGGCCAAGACCGUGGGCUACCCUGCUGCCAUCGCUGCUUGCAUGGUGCUGGAUGGUUACUAGGGUAGACUUGAGUCCUCAUUGCAUUUGUCAUGUCUGAGAUGUUAAGUAUGGUUUAGUGAGGUAAUCAGCCAUUUUGUUAAAGCCCUGAGGGAACCACUCAUUUUGCUAAAGAAGAAUGUACAACCCUAACAUGUCUGUAAAAGUGAAGUGAAAACUGACUUUCAAUCUGCAGGAGAAAUCAGUAUUAAGGGACUGGUGGUGCCAAUGACCAAGGACAUCUAUGGACUGACUCAGAAGAGACUGAAAGAGAAGUGCUUAAAAUUCACUUCAAAAGCACCAUCCAAGAGUAGUAACUCAUGAGUCAUCAGCUGCGUCUCAAAUAUUGUAUAUUGAUUUCCUUUCCUGGUGUCCUCGCCUUCAUCUACACUGAUCCAAAAAAGACCCCACACAUGAAAAAAUACAAUUCUAUUUUUCAAUUCAGUUCGAUUAUUUCAGAAGAGUGGUGAAGGCAAUAUGGUAGAAAUUGUAGGAGGACAGGAGACAAGGAGAGGAAGCCUCAGGCUAGUGAGAGAUGCACCCUGACUUUCUGCUUGUUUCAAAGGCAUUUCCUCACAGCAUCGCCUUACCUCAACCAAACAGUUACAUUGCAGGUGAACAGUUUCCAAGCAACUUUAAAUAAGGCUGUACAUGGAGAACCACAACUUGCUGAGUGUCGUUAUAACAUGUAACGAUCUUAUAAUCUUCGCAGACCUGCUAAGACAAUGUGUAUCAGAAACUCACCCAAAGGGUCUAGUCUUUCCUUGACCAUAGCAUAUUCCUGUUAUUGAUCAGCUGCUGCACAGUUCCAAAGAUUUGUACAUAAUUUACACAUAUGCUUCCCACAGUUGUGUCAAAUUGACUGGAUGUCCUUUGGGUGGUGGACCAUUCUUGAUACAUUUACAUUUAAGUCAUUUAUCAGACGCACUUAUCCAGAGCGACUUACAGUAGAGUGCAUACAUUUUAUUACAUUUUUACAUACUGAGACAAGGAUAUCCCUACCGGCCAAACCCUCCCUAACCCGGACAACGCUAUGCCAAUUGUGCGUCGCCCCACGGACCUCCCGGUUGCGGCCGGCUGCGACAGAGCCUGGGCGCGAACCCAGCCCAGCCUGGGUGCGAACCUAGAGCCCUAGACCACUGCACCACCCGGGAGGUAGGGAACUGUGUGAAAAACCCAGCAGGGAAAGGCUGAAAAACCCAGCAGCGUUGCAGUUCUUGACACAAUCCAACCGGUGCGCCCGGCACCUACUACCAUACCACGUUCAAAGGCACUUACAUCUUUUGUCUUGCCUAUUCUCCCUCUGAAUGGCACACAUACACAAUCCAUGUCUCAAGGCUUAAAAAACUUUUUUUAACCUACUGUAUCUCCCCUUUAUCUACACUGAAGUGGAUUUAAUAAGUGACAUUUGUAAGGGAUCAUAGCUUUCAUCUGGAUUCACCUGGUCAGUCUGUCAUGGAAAGAGCAGGCGUCCUUAAAGUUUUGUAUACUCAGUCUAUAUUUGUAUUUUAAAACUGCUCAGAGAUUAUAAUGUGGCAUAGAGUACAGUUGAAGACAGAAGUUUACAUACACCUUUGCCAAAUAUAUUUAAACUCAGUUUUUCACAAUUCCUGACAUUUAAUCCUGGUAAAAAAAUCCCUGUUUUAGGUCAGUUAGGGUCACCACUUUAUUUUAAGAAUGUGAAAUGUCAGAAUAAUCAAAUCAAAAUCAAAUGUAAUUUUUUAUUUGUCACAUACACAUGGUUAGCAGAUGUUAAUGCGAGUGUAGCGAAAUGCUUGUGCUUCUAGUUCCAACAAUGCAGUAAUAACCAACGAGUAAUCUAACCUAACAAUUUCACAACAACUACCUUAUACACACAAGUGUAAAGGAAUGAAGAAUAUGUACAUAAAAAUAUAUGGAUGAGUGAUGGUGCAGAACGGCAAGAUGCAGUAGAUGGUAUAGAGUACAGUAUAUACAUAUGUGAUGAGUAAUGUAGGGUAUGUAAACAUAUAAAGUGGCAUUGUUUAAAGUGGCUAGUGAUACAUGUAUUACAUCACGAUGCAGUAGAUGGUAUAGAGUACAGUAUAUACAUAUGUGAUGAGUAAUGUAGGGUAUGUAAACAUAUAAAAGUGGCAUUGUUUAAAGUGGCUAGUGAUACAUGUAUUACAUCACGAUGCAGUAGAUGGUAUAGAGUACAGUAUAUACAUAUGAGAUGAGUAAUGUAGGGCAUGUAAACAUCAUAUGAAGUGGCAUUGUUUAAAGUGGCUAGUGAUACAUACAAUUUUUACAUUGCUAAAGUUGCUGGUGUUAGUGGUGGCUGUUUAACAGUCUGAUGGCCUUGAGAUAGAAGCUGUUUUUCAGUCUUUCGGUCCCAGCUUUGAUGCACCUUACUGACCCUGCCUUCUGGAUGGUAGCGGGGUGAACAGGCAGUGGCUCGGGUGGUUGAUGUCCUUGAUGAUCUUUAUGGCCUUCCUGUGAAAUUGGGUGGUGUAGGUGUCCUGGAGGGCAGGUAGUUUGCCCGCCGGUGAUGAGUUGUGCAGACCUCACUACCCUCUGGAGAGCCUUACGGUUGUGGGCGGAGCAGUUGCCGUACCAGGCGGUGAUACAGCCCGACAGGAUGCUCUCGAUUGUGCAUCUGUAAAAGUUUGUGAGUGCUUUUGGUGACAAGCCGAAUUUCUUCAGCCUUCUUCCUUGCUGAUUGGUAAUAUAGCUGAAUUGCUUUCCGUAACAGCAUUUUUAGGUCUGGUUCCCAAAGAGAUUAUUUUUAGUUGACAUGAGCUAUGGUUCCAGUGAGGCACCGAUUACCAAUAAAGUAUGCAUUUUAUCUCUGUACCAUAUCAAAUGUUACUCGUCAACUAUUGACAUUUCUGUAUAAUCAAUGAUAAAUACAGUGUAUGCAUCCAUUCUGUUUUCAAUGGA
This is a long non-coding RNA of Salvelinus fontinalis (brook trout), 3393 nucleotides long. RefSeq lists it as uncharacterized. The record is from RefSeq and is a predicted model, not a curated record. The transcript is spliced from 3 exons. Lineage: Eukaryota; Metazoa; Chordata; Actinopteri; Salmoniformes; Salmonidae.